GAUCCUGCCGGACCUGACUGCUAUCGGAUUGGUACUAAGCCAUGUGAGUCAUUGUAGCAAUACAAGGCAGACGGCUCAGUAACACGUAGUCAAUCUACCCUAUGGACGUGGAUAACCUCGGGAAACUGAGAAUAAUCCGCGAUAGAUCAUAAUUCCUGGAACGGUUUAUGGUCCAAAUGAUUCGUCGCCAUAGGAUGGGACUGCGGCCUAUCAGCUUGUUGGUGAGGUAAUGGCCCACCAAGGCUAUUACAGGUACGGGCUCUGAGAGGAGAAGCCCGGAGAUGGGUACUGAGACACGGACCCAGGCCCUAUGGGGCGCAGCAGGCGAGAAAACUUUGCAAUGUGCGAAAGCACGACAAGGUUAAUCCGAGUGGUUUCUGCUAAAGAAACCUUUUGUUAGUCCUAGAAACACUAGUGAAUAAGGGGUGGGCAAGUUCUGGUGUCAGCCGCCGCGGUAAAACCAGCACCUCAAGUGGUCAGGAUGAUUAUUGGGCCUAAAGCAUCCGUAGCUCGUUUUGUAAGUUUUCGGUUAAAUCCAUGCGCUUAACGUAUGGGCUGCCGGGAAUACUGCAUAACUAGGAAGUGGGAGAGGUAGACGGUACUCGGUAGGAAGGGGUAAAAUCCUUUGAUCUAUUGAUGACCACCUGUGGCGAAGGCGGUCUACCAGAACAC
RNAcentral lists this ribosomal RNA (672 nucleotides) under uncultured archaeon. Its description in RNAcentral is "bacterial SSU rRNA". It matches the Rfam family "Archaeal small subunit ribosomal RNA", at positions 10 to 688 of the family's 1478-position model. The record is from RNAcentral.